AGCAGCCGCGGUAAUUCCAGCUCCAAUAGCGUAUAUUAAAGUUGUUGCAGUUAAAAAGCUCGUAGUUGAAUUUCGGGGUUAGUAGGUUGGUCAUGCCUCUGGUAUGUACUGGUCUCACUGAUUCCUCCUUCCUGAUGAGCCGUAAUGCCAUUAAUUUGGUGUUGCGGGGAAUUUGGACUGUUACUUUAGAAAAAUUAGAGUGUUUAAAGCAAGCUAACGCUUGAAUACAUUAGCAUGGAAUAAUGAAAUAGGACGUUCGAUCCUAUUUUGUUGGUUUCUAGGAUUGACGUAAUGAUUAAUAGGGAUAGUUGGGGGCAUUAGUAUUCAAUUGUCAGAGGUGAAAUUCUUGGAUUUAUUGAAGACUAACUACUGCGAAAGCAUUUGCCAAGGAUGUUUUCAUUAAUCAAGAACGAAAGUUAGGGGAUCGAAGACGAUCAGAUACCGUCGUAGUCUUAACCAUAAACUAUGCCGACUAGGGAUCGGAUGAUGUUAAUUUUUAAUGACUCAUUCGGCGCCUUAA
RNAcentral lists this unclassified non-coding RNA (520 nucleotides) under uncultured Glomus. Its description in RNAcentral is "SSU rRNA". It matches the Rfam family "Eukaryotic small subunit ribosomal RNA", at positions 569 to 1091 of the family's 1831-position model. The record is from RNAcentral. Lineage: Eukaryota; Fungi; Glomeromycota; Glomeromycetes; Glomerales; Glomeraceae.